RNAcentral lists this small RNA (819 nucleotides) under Pongo abelii (Sumatran orangutan). RNAcentral describes it as "processed transcript". Lineage: Eukaryota; Metazoa; Chordata; Mammalia; Primates; Hominidae. The record is from RNAcentral.
GCCCUCAUUGACUAUGAGAACUCAAACAAAGCUCUGGAUAAGGCCCGGUUGAAGAGCAAAGACGUCAAGUUGGCUGAGGCACACCAGCAGGAGUGCUGCCAGAAAUUUGAACAACUUUCCGAAUCUGCAAAAGAAGGAGUUCAACUUAAGAUUUUACCUAACUGAUAAAUUUCAAACGGAAGAGAGUGGCAGCAUUUAGAAAGAAUCUAAUUGAAAUGUCUGAACUGGAAAUAAAACAUGCCAGGAACAAUGUCUCCCUUUUGCAGAGCUGUAUUGACUUGUUCAAGAAUAACUGAUAUGCCUUCACUCAGAAGAAAAGAAAUGAAUGUGAAAGAAAGCCAAGCAUCACUUGCACUUAAAUCAUUACCACGGAAGAUAUAUUAGCUUCAACUUUAGUUUAAAAUUAUGUGAAUAAAUAUUUUGAUUUCUACAAAUCUUAACAUUUAACCAUGUUGGUUUAAAAAUAUUAUUGCUUGCUACUUGGACAUAACUAAAUUUUCCUUGUGCAUUUAAUACCUCUGGGCAGAAUCUAAAUACUGGGUUCUCCCGUAGUUCGUCUUUAGUUACUAAGAAAGGGUGUAGGAGACAUUUGCCUUCUGGAAACAAGUAGAAGCAAUCACCUGGCCCAUGUCCCUACAAACCCAUGAUUGUCAGGGAGGUGCCAGUUACAGCAGGUGAUUCAGCUACUUGAGGCCGGUAACAGACCUUCCAUUCCUCACUGAAGGUGGGGUUUGUGUUUUUGUUUUGCCCUGUUACUCCACUGGUAGUCCUCUGGUGUUUGUACUAUAACAACAGCAAGAAAAUCUCAUUUAUCUUUAU